GAUGAACGCUGGCGGCGUGCCUAAUACAUGCAAGUCGAGCGAACGGACGAGAAGCUUGCUUCUCUGAUGUUAGCGGCGGACGGGUGAGUAACACGUGGAUAACCUACCUAUAAGACUGGGAUAACUUCGGGAAACCGGAGCUAAUACCGGAUAAUAUUUUGAACCGCAUGGUUCAAAAGUGAAAGACGGUCUUGCUGUCACUUAUAGAUGGAUCCGCGCUGCAUUAGCUAGUUGGUAAGGUAACGGCUUACCAAGGCAACGAUGCAUAGCCGACCUGAGAGGGUGAUCGGCCACACUGGAACUGAGCCACGGUCCAGACUCCUACGGGAGGCAGAAGUAGGGACUCUUCCGCAAUGGGCGAAAGCCUGACGGAGCAACGCCGGGUGAGUGAUGAAGGUCUUCGGAUCGUAAAACUCUGUUAUUAGGGAAGAACAUAUGUGUAAGUAACUGUGCACAUCUUGACGGUACCUAAUCAGAAAGCAACGGCUAACUACGUG
Molecule: ribosomal RNA, 497 nt
Filed under: uncultured bacterium
Lineage: Bacteria
Description: partial 16S ribosomal RNA
Rfam family: Bacterial small subunit ribosomal RNA
Source: RNAcentral